RNAcentral lists this long non-coding RNA (935 nucleotides) under Triticum aestivum (bread wheat). RNAcentral's name for it is "long non-coding RNA (TAES_LNC010749)". Lineage: Eukaryota; Viridiplantae; Streptophyta; Magnoliopsida; Poales; Poaceae. The record is from RNAcentral.
UUUUUAAUAAAGACACCCAAAGGGCAUCUUAAAUCUGAUUAUCAUCGAGGAAAACAAAGGCCAGUACAAAGGAUAGACAACUGGACGUAGAACGACCAGUAAAAAAUAAAAUUACAAUAAAAAGCAUACUAGUCUUCUUCUUCCUCUGAUUGUACGCUGCCCGCCGGUGAUUGAAAAUUGCACUGAACCAACAGCAAAGAAAAGCAAAACCUGCAAAUGCCCUCGCCACACAAGGCUUUGAAGACCGCAAUAGCCACUCGCCCCUUGAGACGAGAUCUAAAAGUCGUUGAAGCAGCAUCGGCUGGAGCAUCACCCCAAGCAGAACAAACUUGCAAUCCACCACCACCAGAUCAGAGGGUUGGAGAAACCGGGUUAAGCCACAGAACAACACAGAAGAUGUCGUGGUCGCCACACCAAACGCCAGCCCAAAGUACUCCUUGAAAGACACACCAACUGCCAAGAUCUGAAGGGAACCAACCGAUCUGGGGACACAAACUCUCACAUGCCCUUCGCCGGCGCCGGAUCGGACGUCGUCGAGGUAGGGAGAGACCGGAGAGACUUUAUUCCAACACGCCAUCGUCGCCACCACCUCGUCGAUGCCACCGGAGAAACAAAAACCUAAGAAAAAUAAAACAAGACGAACGGGUCCCCACUCCUCUUGCCGCCGACGAGGCCGCCGGACGGGAAAGAGGAGGGGGACCGAGGCGGCGGCAGUAGUUGUGGCGGCGGCGGCGGCUUAGGGUUAGGAGGCGGCGGCUGGGGAGAUGAAAAGGUUUGUUUUAAACUGGCUAGGAGAGGAAACAGUUGCCCGUUUUUGGAAGCGUGUGAGUGAAUGGCUUCUUGCUUUUAUGGCGCAGGCAAACGCCUCAACAACACACCAACAGCUUGCUCUUACGGGCGAGGGGUGGCAAAACAGGUGCACAGAUGACAUGUUU